Long non-coding RNA from Syzygium oleosum, 2008 nucleotides. RefSeq lists it as uncharacterized. The transcript is spliced from 2 exons. NCBI's taxonomy places the organism in Eukaryota, Viridiplantae, Streptophyta, Magnoliopsida, Myrtales, Myrtaceae. The record is from RefSeq and is a predicted model, not a curated record.
CCCAUGUUGAAGCCUGACAUUACAGGCCGGUUGAAAAUGACCUCAUUGACUACAACUGCAACUUGUAACCAAGAAGAAUUUUAAAGGGUUUGGUCUACCAAAGAGGUGUUGUUUUGGCAUUUCUGGUCGUAGGCAUCGAAAGCGAAUUGGAAUUGGCAUCUGAUUUACAUGUUUUAUGCACUGCUUGGAAGAUGUUAUCCGGACAACACAACGAAACAAUCCAAAACCACCGAAUUCGUCCACAGACCACGCCUCGCUAUACCCAGGGUACUUUCUUAUUUCUCUCUUGGAGCCACUUCAUAUGCUGCUUUUCGUGCAGUAUUUUGGUUCUCGUAAAUCAUAUAAUACUAGGAGGGUGAUCCCGCCGAUGUUGUCGGCGUGGCGUGGCUGGCAUGGGACCACAAGGCUAUAUCGCUUUCAUAGGUUGGCAGUGAUUGAGCGAAUGUGACAUCAUGUCAGUCUUCGCAGAGUGCAUAGAGGUAUGCAGUAAUUGUCCGGGUCCCUUUAAAAUUGAUUCUUGAAUAAAACUGCCUCGCCACUGACUUCCAAUUAGUCAGUCUUUUAGUGUCUUUGUGAAGUUACACUGAUAUUAUCGCACUUCGGCGCUGUGAUAGGAUAAGUCGAUCCUAUCAGACGGCAAAUUCUCAAAUGGCACGUCUCAAACGGCAUGUUUCGAUAGGAGCUCUCGGGUGAAUUGGCUGUGAUGGGGCAUGUGGAAGAAACUGAAUUGACAAGGUUCCUCUCAAUGAAGGAGACAAGAGAAUGACAUGGUACAAGCGUGAACUACAUCUUUUAGGGCAUAAUACUGACAAGAGCCAUAGGGUACUAUCACAGAUCAACUUAGGUAAGGACAACUUUAGCAACAGGACAUGAAUGGUGCAUCUUAACCUUGAUGGUCAAGCCCACAUCUUGUUAUAUGUCACUAAUGGGCUUGUUUUAUUGCCCGUUGUGAUCAUGAUUAUUUUGAAAGAGAGAGCACACGUUGAAUUUUUUGGUCCCAAGGUUUCUCUGCUAAUACAGAUUCCUUACCCAUGAGAAUUCAUACUGCUUCACUUCUCUUCACAGUGAUUGUUAUGGCAACCAUUCACGUCUCUAGCUCCAGACAACCUCUUGGGUUUACGUAUGCAGAGUACAUCCCUGUCUCUGAUUUAGGAACCACGUCGUCUUCUCCAGGAUCAGAGCAUUUUCUUACCGCCAGUCCUCCCAUUUCGAUGUCUGAGAGCUCCAAGGAGAAUCAGAUAUGUGUUUCCCAUCAAGUUGUUCCAAGUGGACCAAACCCACUUCACAACUGAUUGAAUUCUCUCUCUCUCUCUCUUAUUGGGCAGUGGUGGAUUGGUAUUGAGCUGAGGGAUACUUUUGGUUCUCUCACUGAACAAGGAAAAGAAGAAUCCUUUCUGAGAUCUAUGCAUUAUGUGAGCUAAUUUUCUAGCCACCUUGUUCUUGGAAGAACCAAGUGGUAGCCGUGAUUGAAGCUUCAAGCUCCAGGAUAUAUGCGGAUAAGUGAUGUACUAUUUCAAUUGCAGAUUGUAAGAAAGGAACUGUGUUAUCAAUCACAGUUCAUGUUGCUGAGAUGCUCAUUCACUCAGCUCGGUAUUGGCAAAUUAAUAGUGUCGGUUUUCCUUCCCAUAUGAGAUUAUACUAAAGAGUCAAUUUCAGUUUCUCUGAGACAACACAAUAUUGGAUUAGAUAGCAGAUGUUUGUAAAUUAUGGAGGGUUGACACUCUUCAGUUUGACUGAUCGUGUGGAGUUUUACUUUAUACUGAUCCCAAGAUCAUAUGUGUUACUCCUAUGUUAGGGAAAGACAGGAAUCUCAGAACUGGAAAUAGCCUUCUGGUUAGUGUAGCAACCGCUAGAUUUCAAAUUGCUGCCAAAAGAUGGAAAAGAAAAGAAGAGGCAGUUCCUUGAAGCCUUGUAUCAAUUUUGUGGAUGUUUUGACAUAACCUCCCUUCACAUUCGUGAUGUCUGAUGUCGAUUAAUUUUGCAUAUCCAAUCGGUCUUUCUAUCAGUA